This 434-nucleotide ribosomal RNA is filed under the name uncultured bacterium. RNAcentral's name for it is "partial 16S ribosomal RNA". It matches the Rfam family "Bacterial small subunit ribosomal RNA", at positions 29 to 507 of the family's 1533-position model. The record is from RNAcentral.
AGCGAACGCUGGCGGCAGGCCUAACACAUGCAAGUCGAACGAACCUUUCGGGGUUAGUGGCGGACGGGUGAGUAACACGUGGGAACGUGCCUUUAGGUUCGGAAUAACUCAGGGAAACUUGUGCUAAUACCGAAUGUGCCCUUCGGGGGAAAGAUUAAUCGCCUUUAGAGCGGCCCGCGUCUGAUUAGCUAGUUGGUUGAGGUAAUGGCUCACCAAGGCGACGAUCAGUAGCUGGUCUGAGAGGAUGAUCAGCCACAUUGGGACUGAGACACGGCCCAAACUACUACGGGAGGCAGCAGUGGGGAAUCUUGCGAAAUGGGCGAAAGCCUGACGAAGCCAUGCCGCGUGAAUGAUGAAGGUCUUAGGAUUGUAAAAUUCUUUCACCGGGGACGAUAAUGACGGUACCCGGAGAAGAAGCCCCGGCUAACUUCGUG